AAGGCUCCUUCGGGAGUACUCGAGCGGCGCAAGGGAGAGUAACGCGUGGAUAUUUACCCUCAGAUCGAGGAUAGCGGUGGGAAACUACCGGUAAUACUCGAUAAUGUCUCCGGACCAAAGGUGAGAUUCCGUCUGAGGAUAAGUCCGCGUCCUAUUAGCUUGUUGGUGGGGUAAUGGCCUACCAAGGCGGUGAUGGGUACCGGGUGUGAGAGCAUGGCCCGGCUCACUGGGACUGAGACACUGCCCAGACACCUACGGGUGGCUGCAGUCGAGAAUCUUCGGCAAUGGGCGCAAGCCUGACCGAGCGACGCCGCGUGCGGGAUGAAGGCCUUCGGGUUGUAAACCGCUGUCAGAGGGGAGGAAAUGUAUGAGGGUUCUCUCUCAUAUUUGACCGAUCCUCAGAGGAAGUACGGGCUAAGUUCGUGCCAGCAGCCGCGGUAAUACGAACCGUACGAACGUUAUUCGGAAUCACUGGGCUUAAAGAGUGCGUAGGCGGCUUGGCAAGUUGGGUGUGAAAUCCCUCGGCUCAACCGAGGAAUGGCGCCCAAAACUGCCAGGCUUGAGGGAGGUAGAGGUAAGCGGAACUAAUGGUGGAGCGGUGAAAUGCGUUGAUAUCAUUAGGAACACCUGAGGCGAAAGCAGCUUACUGGGCCUUUUCUGACGCUGAGGCACGAAAGCUAG
RNAcentral lists this ribosomal RNA (681 nucleotides) under uncultured Planctomycetota bacterium. RNAcentral's name for it is "bacterial SSU rRNA". It matches the Rfam family "Bacterial small subunit ribosomal RNA", at positions 71 to 763 of the family's 1533-position model. Lineage: Bacteria; Pseudomonadati; Planctomycetota. The record is from RNAcentral.